CAGUAGCCACGGUAAUACGUAGGUCCCGAGCGUUGUCCGGAUUUAUUGGGCGUAAAGCGAGCGCAGGCGGUUUGAUAAGUCUGAAGUUAAAGGCUGUGGCUCAACCAUAGUUCGCUUUGGAAACUGUCAAACUUGAGUGCAGAAGGGGAGAGUGGAAUUCCAUGUGUAGCGGUGAAACGCGUAGAUAUAUGGAGGAACACCGGUGGCGAAAGCGGCUCUCUGGUCUGUAACUGACGCUGAGGCUCGAAAGCGUGGGGAGCGAACAGGAUUAGAUACCCCUGUAGUCCCUGUCUCUUAUCCA
RNAcentral lists this ribosomal RNA (301 nucleotides) under uncultured bacterium. RNAcentral's name for it is "partial 16S ribosomal RNA". It matches the Rfam family "Bacterial small subunit ribosomal RNA", at positions 509 to 809 of the family's 1533-position model. The record is from RNAcentral.